CUUUUUUUUUUUCUUUUUUUUUUGGUGCAAGGGACUGAACUCAGAACCUCACCGUUACCAGAUCCUCUUUAGUGGUGAGUUCAAAGAGUCCAUGUGGUUGAGUAUCAGAGUGUUCCAUCUCAUUUCCCUUUGGGGUUGCUGUAGGUGAUUCUGGAAGUCUGGUUCUGAGGCUUGUUUACCUACCUUCUCAUUUUGAUGCGGGGGGCGGGGGUGUUGUUCCUGGCACCCGCAGUGCUCACCUCCUCUCUGCUGGGAGCUCUGGCACGCCUACCCAGAAGCCUCCUCUAUGCUGGGAGCCGUGGCACCCUGACCCGGAAGUCUCCUCUGCACUGGGAGCCAUGGUGUGCUGACCUGGAAGUCUCUUCUGUGCUGGGAGCUGUGGCAUGCUGACCUGGAAGCCUCCUCUAUUCUGGGAGCCACGGCACAACAACCCGGAAGCCUCCUCUACGCUGGGAGCCAUGGCACGCCUACCUGGAAGUCUCCUCCUGCCUAGGAACCAUGGCACGCUGACCCUGAAGUCUCCUCUGGGCUGGGAGCUGUGGCACACUUACCUGGAAGCCCCCUCUACACUGGGAGCCAUGACACACCUACCCAGAAGCCUCCUCCUGCCUGGGAGCCAUGGCGUGCUGACCUGGAAGUCUCCUCUGGGCUGGGAGCCAUGGCACACCAACCUGGAGGUCUCCUCUCCCUACACAAUAUAUCUUUGUUUUUGUUUUUGUUUUUUUCUACACAAUAUAUCUUGAUUCAUCUUUUUCUCCCAAUCCCCUUCCCUCCCGUCAACCUUCCAUUCUCCCUUAUUUACAAAAGUUGUUUCUGUUUUUUCCUUCUUUUCUCAUUUUUUUCACCUUUUCCCUUCCUUUCCCCCCUCUUCCCUUCACAGUUUCUCUUUUCCUUUGAACAGUUUUUUCCUAUUUUAUAUUACCUAUUAUACCAAAAGUGCAUGAGAAAUAGUGCAAAGAAUCAAUAAUUGGGAUGUCAUCCUGUUAAGAAG
Molecule: long non-coding RNA, 991 nt
Filed under: Heterocephalus glaber (naked mole-rat)
Lineage: Eukaryota; Metazoa; Chordata; Mammalia; Rodentia; Bathyergidae
Description: lncRNA (ENSHGLG00100049140.1)
Source: RNAcentral